GAAGGCCCUCGGGUUGUAAAGCACUUUCAGCGAGGAAGAACGCCUAACGGUUAAUACCCGCUAGGAAAGACAUCACUCGCAGAAGAAGCACCGGCUAACUCCGUGCCAGCAGCCGCGGUAAUACGGAGGGUGCAAGCGUUAAUCGGAAUUACUGGGCGUAAAGCGCGCGUAGGUGGCUUGAUAAGCCGGUUGUGAAAGCCCCGGGCUCAACCUGGGAACGGCAUCCGGAACUGUCAAGCUAGAGUGCAGGAGAGGAAGGUAGAAUUCCCGGUGUAGCGGUGAAAUGCGUAGAGAUCGGGAGGAAUACCAGUGGCGAAGGCGGCCUUCUGGACUGACACUGACACUGAGGUGCGAAAGCGUGGGUAGCAAACAGGAUUAGAUACCCUGGUAGUCCACGCCGUAAACGAUGUCGACCAGCCGUUGGGUGCCUAGCGCACUUUGUGGCGAAGUUAACGCGA
This 458-nucleotide ribosomal RNA is filed under the name uncultured Gammaproteobacteria bacterium. RNAcentral's name for it is "bacterial SSU rRNA". It matches the Rfam family "Bacterial small subunit ribosomal RNA", at positions 410 to 860 of the family's 1533-position model. Lineage: Bacteria; Pseudomonadati; Pseudomonadota; Gammaproteobacteria. The record is from RNAcentral.